Non-coding RNA from Rattus norvegicus (Norway rat), 2030 nucleotides. Lineage: Eukaryota; Metazoa; Chordata; Mammalia; Rodentia; Muridae. The record is from RefSeq and is a predicted model, not a curated record.
CAUCUCUUUUUACCUGAGUUUUUGAUCUUAGCUAUUCUCACUGGUGUGAGGUGAAAUCUCAGGGUUGUUUUGAUUUGCAUUUCCCUUAUGACUUAAGAUGUUGAACAUUUCUUUAGGUGUUUCUCAGCCAUUCGGCAUUCCUCAGCUGUGAAUUCUUUGUUUAGUUCUGAACCCCAUUUUUUAAUAGGGUUAUUUGUCUAACUUCUUGGGUUUUUUGCAUCUUUUUAAUAUAAGCCCUCUAUCUGUUGUUGGAUUGGUAAAUAUCUUUUCCCAAUCUCUUGGUUGCCGUUUUAUCCUAACCACAGUGUCCUUUCCCUUCCAGAAGCUUUGCAGUUUUAUGAGACCCCAUUUGUCAAUUCUUGAUCUUAGAGCAUAAACCAUUGGUGUUUUGUUCAGGAAUUUUUUUCCAGUGCCCAUGUGUUUGAGAUGCUGGCCUAGUUUUUCUUCUAUUAGUUUGACUGUAUCUGGUUUGAUUUGGAGGUCCUUAAUCCACUUGGACUUAAGCGUUGCACAUGGUGAUAAGCAUGGAACGAUUUGCACUCUUCUACAUGCUGACCUCCAGUUGAACCAGCACCAUUUUCUGAAAAUGCUCUUUUUUCCAUUGAAUGGUUUUGGCUCCUUUGUCAAAAGUAAAGUGCCCAUAGGUGUGUGGGUUCAUUUCUGGGAGCUGCCUUAUGUAUAAUACCCAAGAGCUAGAAGAAUCCGUAAUGGCAUUCAUCAGAGGAAUGAAUACAGAAAAUGUAGUACAUCUAAACAAUUGUGUACUACUCAACUCUUAAAACCAAUUAUCUCAAGAAAGCCAAAGACAAAUGGGAUGAUCUAGAAAAUAUCAUAAUGAUUGAGGUUACCCAAUCACAAAAUGGUAUGAAAUCACACAUUUUAUGAAAUCACCAAAAGUGGAUAUUGGCACAAAAGCUAAAAUUACCAAAGAUGCAGUUCACAGACAACUGGAAGCUCAAUAAAAUGAUACACAAAAUGUGCAUGCUUUAAUCCUUUUCAAAAGGUGGACACAAUAAUAUCUAUGAAUUUCGAGCAGAGACUGAGGAAAUCCCAUUCAGAGCAGGCCGUACAUGUGGCAAAAAUAUAUACACAUCAGUCACCAAAACUAGAUAAGAUUGAUGGAGCUAAGAAGUGCAUUGUGCCAGGGACUGUAUAGAGAUCUUUCCUGUGAGACACAGCUAGAGCAUAUCAAAUAAAGAAGUGAAUUCUAGAGGCAAAUCAGUGAAUUGAAAACGGACAGUAGGGGAGUUAUAGAAAAAGAGGAGUGGGGCCGGUUAGGGAUCAUAUGUGCAGGUAAUAGGGAAAGGAAAUAACAUUUCAAAUGUAAAUAUAGAAAUACCCAAUUAAAACAGGAAUAAAAUUUGCUAAAAAAAUAAAAAGAAAUAAAGAAAUUUAAGAAAAGAACACUGCGAAGUAUUCACAGCUAUUGACUCAGAAAUGUAAAAGUCAUUUUCAUGGAAUGAUAGUCAGAGUAAUACUAAUGGAAAGACUGAGAUGAUGAAGACUCAACUAGAAACACUUCUCUCUCCCAGAUAUCAGUAUCAGACAAAAACUGCACUAUAGGCAUCCAGAGCAUGGUGGAAUUUACUCUGAGGCGAGGACUCAAUACUUGUCUUUCCAUUCUUCCUUAGGACCAUUUUCUUCUUGACAAAAAGAAUAAGGCUAUGAGAUCUCAGCAAAACAACUGUGCCCUGCCCAUCACUUGGCUUUGGAAUAAAAAAAAAUAAUGAUAUAAACUCUUUGACUUCCAGGAAUGAUAUGAACAGGAACUGUAAGAGCAGGAAGUCCAGAUGCUUCUGAGAGGACCCCAGCUCCUAAUUCCCAUUUGUAGACGGCUCAGAUCAAGACAAUCUCUUCAUGAAACAACUCAACACCUACUAAGGACUCAGAGAGCUUUCCCAAGGACCUUUUUUGUACCAAGACAGAAGGUCAACUUUCUUCUCCCCAUCUCUGAUAUCUUCAUCCUAUUUGUCCUCCCUCCCAAAUGGCUCUUUACACUGAAUUAUAGGCCAAUUAGUAAACCAUAGAUA